RNAcentral lists this ribosomal RNA (542 nucleotides) under uncultured fungus. Its description in RNAcentral is "eukaryotic LSU rRNA". It matches the Rfam family "Eukaryotic large subunit ribosomal RNA", at positions 1 to 540 of the family's 3401-position model. The record is from RNAcentral. Lineage: Eukaryota; Fungi.
UUGACCUCAAAUCAGGUAGGACUACCCGCUGAACUUAAGCAUAUCAAUAAGCGGAGGAAAAGAAACUAACAAGGAUUCCCCUAGUAACUGCGAGUGAAGCGGGAAAAGCUCAAAUUUAAAAUCUGGCGGUCCUCGCGGCCGUCCGAGUUGUAAUCUGGAGAAGCGUUUUCCGCGUCGGACCGUGUACAAGUCUUCUGGAAUGGAGCGUCGUAGAGGGUGAGAAUCCCGUAUACGGCGCGGACCGCCGAUGUUUUGUGAUACUCUCUCAGCGAGUCGAGUUGUUUGGGAAUGCAGCUCAAAAGGGGGGGUAAAUCCCAUAAAAAGAUAAAUAUUGGCGAGAGACCGAUAGCGCACAAGUCCCGAGAGGGAAAGAUGAAACGCACUUUGGAAAGAGAGUGACACAGUACGAGAAAUUGUUGAAAGGGAAGCGUUAGAACUCAGUCAUGUCUGUCGGGAUUCAACUGGGCUUUUGCCCGGUGUACUUUCCGUCCGACGGGUCAGCAUCAAUUUCGACCGAGGGAAAAAGAUGGGAGGAAUGUGGC